This 534-nucleotide ribosomal RNA is filed under the name uncultured Ascomycota. RNAcentral's name for it is "eukaryotic LSU rRNA". The stretch from base 218 to 371 matches the Rfam family "5.8S ribosomal RNA". Lineage: Eukaryota; Fungi; Ascomycota. The record is from RNAcentral.
CUUGGUCAUUUAGAGGAAGUAAAAGUCGUAACAAGGUCUCCGUUGGUGAACCAGCGGAGGGAUCAUUACCGAGUUUACAACUCCCAAACCCCUGUGAACAUACCUAUACGUUGCCUCGGCGGAUCAGCCCGCGCCCCGUAAAACGGGACGGCCCGCCCGAGGACCCCUAAACUCUGUUUUUAGUGGAACUUCUGAGUAAAACAAACAAAUAAAUCAAAACUUUCAACAACGGAUCUCUUGGUUCUGGCAUCGAUGAAGAACGCAGCAAAAUGCGAUAAGUAAUGUGAAUUGCAGAAUUCAGUGAAUCAUCGAAUCUUUGAACGCACAUUGCGCCCGCCAGUAUUCUGGCGGGCAUGCCUGUUCGAGCGUCAUUUCAACCCUCAAGCUCAGCUUGGUGUUGGGACUCGCGGUAACCCGCGUUCCCCAAAUCGAUUGGCGGUCACGUCGAGCUUCCAUAGCGUAGUAACUUCUGAAUGUUGACCUCGGAUCAGGUAGGAAUACCCGCUGAACUUAAGCAUAUCAAUAAGCGGAGGA